This 607-nucleotide long non-coding RNA is filed under the name Mus pahari (shrew mouse). RNAcentral describes it as "lncRNA (MGP_PahariEiJ_G0004640.1)". Lineage: Eukaryota; Metazoa; Chordata; Mammalia; Rodentia; Muridae. The record is from RNAcentral.
AGUGGCGGCGGGCCCGCGCGGUGCCAGCGACUAGCAGAGAGAUGUCUUGGCCCCUUCCAGGUUUGGAGAUGGCCUUGGGGGAGCAACCUCCGGACCUCAGCAGUGUGAGGAUGACGACAACAGUACCCUGGGGUGCUGUCCCCACUCAGGUUGGGUGCCAUCCCUGCUGAUGGAGAGAGGCUGAAGUCUGUCAGAGAAGAUAGUGCCGGCAGCUACUUAGCUGGUAUUAAUUGUAUCUGCAGAGUAGGGGGUUUCUCUGUGUAGCCCUGACUGUCCUGCAACUCACUCUGCAGACCAGGCUGGCCUCGAACUCAGAGAUCUACCUGCCUUUGCCUCUGGAGUACUGGGAUUAAAGAUGCAGAGGCCUCCCAGUGAAGUGUGAAGGGAUGGGCCUUAACCAGGGUUGAAGAAAGAAAGUGAAGAAGGGGAGAGCCCAAGGAAAGGUGGGGACAGUUGGAACUUCUGAUUACACUCUUCUGGUCUACUUCUCAUGUAUCAUAUGCUAUAAUCUCCAAAUUCCAUAUUUAUUGUAGCAGUCUGCGGUGUGUAUGCCCCGGCCGCAUGCUGCUUGGCUAAAAAAGUGUUAAAUAAAACUGUAAGAAACGAU